UACAGAGGUCCCAAGCGUUGUUCGGAUUCACUGGGCGUAAAGGGUGCGUAGGCGGUCGGGUAAGUCUGGCGUGAAAUCUCCAAGCCUAACUUGGAAACUGCGUUGGAUACUAUCCGGCUCGAGGAAUGGAGGGGAGACUGGAAUACUUGGUGUAGCAGUGAAAUGCGUAGAUAUCGUUUGGAACGCCAAUGGUGAAAACAGGCGACUGGGGUUGAGCUGACGCUGAGACACGAAAGCCAGGGGAGCGAACGGG
RNAcentral lists this ribosomal RNA (253 nucleotides) under uncultured bacterium. Its description in RNAcentral is "partial 16S ribosomal RNA". It matches the Rfam family "Bacterial small subunit ribosomal RNA", at positions 524 to 776 of the family's 1533-position model. The record is from RNAcentral.